RNAcentral lists this microRNA (23 nucleotides) under Homo sapiens (human). Its description in RNAcentral is "hsa-miR-6878-5p". Lineage: Eukaryota; Metazoa; Chordata; Mammalia; Primates; Hominidae. The record is from miRBase by way of RNAcentral.
AGGGAGAAAGCUAGAAGCUGAAG